Long non-coding RNA from Gavialis gangeticus (Gharial), 3144 nucleotides. RefSeq lists it as uncharacterized. The record is from RefSeq and is a predicted model, not a curated record. NCBI's taxonomy places the organism in Eukaryota, Metazoa, Chordata, Crocodylia, Gavialidae. The transcript has 3 exons.
AUGUAGGAGCAAAGGCGUGGCUGUUUCCUGACUGUUGAAGCCCUCACUGCCCAAAAUAGCUACUGUUGACUUCUUCCCUCCAGUUUUAGGGAAGCAGAGUUAUUUCUGAGUCGAGCAGAGGAAAAUUUGGUAGCACAUAAGUUUUGUCCCUAUGCCCUAUCACCGUCAUAUUUAUUCAGCUCCUACCAUUAUUUUGACACAUUACAGAGAUACAAACAGUACAGAGCCCUCCUCCAAGAAGAUUACACUCCAAGCAGGCAACUCCCAGACAGAGGAAGGGAAGAUGCAUUGCCUUGAUUUUCAAAGCCUGGCCCUUUUCUCCUGAUGCAUUCUCAUAUGGGCUUAUGAAGGCAAGGACCUACAAAUUCAGACACUCUCUUUCUUCACUCCUGUUCAGAAAACCCCCUCUCCUGCCUUCACUGUUGAAAUGAGGGACUCGCUCUUCCCAUUCACCUUUCCAUGAUAGCAGUGUCCUUAUGACUCAAUGGAAAAAUGUUAAUAAUCGUAGGAAAAAGAUUCUCUUUAGAACGUGAGAACUGCCAUUUAUUGUGUCAGACCGUUGGUCCAUCUUGCUCAGUAUCCUGUGUCACACAAUGGCAGAGAGUGAGUGCUGAAAGGAAGAGUGGGUAAUAUCAGGGUUUUUUCACCUGUUCCUCUCCCACAUGCAGCUUCCAGCAUUUAAAGCCUACGAAGUUCUGAUUGGACCCUUAAAUGGCAUAAAUAAAGGAAGAGCUGCAGAAUGCAAGGCCUCCUGUAUUUGGAAGAUAAAGUUCUUGUGGGGAUGCCCCAAGGUCCAGUGAAGCUGACAGUCCUUUGGCUUCACUGAUCUCGAGCUAAAGCUAUUAGGAUGCCUAUACAUGAACAUCAAGCUUCAGUUAAAUUGCCCCCAACACCAUUUUUAAGCACAGGGGCACUGAUACACGGGAUGCUCCAAGUGCUUGAAUUAGAAUGGCUCUCUGAACCGCUCUAAGUAAAGUGCCCCCUUUCCCCAGCCCCCACAACUCCCAGAGCACAUUUACAAAUACCCUUAGUUCCUGGACAUCUUGGGAAUAAACCUGAGAGAAAUAUCUGUAAAAAGAACAGAGAACAAGAAUGCCUUAUUCCAGCAACAAAGCUUAUUUUUUAUAUACACUUGUGCUCUGCCCUCUCUGCCUCAGUGGGCCUGUUGAAUAUGUGCACAGUAUUCAUGACAGAGAUUAACUUUGUAGUUACAUAUAUUAACUACAGAAAAGUAAAUCAUGCUGUCUUGAAAACCUUGGAGUCUGCUAGUGGCCACUGCCAUUGUGUUCAUCUCCAAAGCAACCUAUUGCAUUGGAGAUGCAUGGUGUACUUCUCUUGGAGACAAACUUUUGUUCUUUCUUGUUCUGCACACGGAUGGUUGAUUUGGUAUGGGAAGAGAAUCCUGUGCCCUCUGAAGGAGUUGCUCUGAGUGUGAUUGUUAGUGAACUGCUUGCUUCUCAGACAAAAAAUGUUUUCCAAGCAGUUAAAGGCUUUAAAAAAGGAAGCAGCAAGACUGUAUUUGUAGCAUUUUUGGUUGUCAUUCUCCUUGUUGUUUUCAGUUUAGCAUUAAGCUUUAGAAAUCCAAAAUCUGCCUGUCCUAGAGUACUAUGCUUUAUAGUUUCUCACCCAGCAGAGUUAAAUACCAGAGGAGAUAUUUUCUAUGCAGAUACACGUAUUGUAUUAUACUGCUACCCUGGCACAUGUUUUCCUUCAAAUGCAUAUGUUACAGCUCUUCACAAUUUGUGUCCUUAUGUGUCUGUAUAGGACAUUUACCAUGUGGUUUUCACGUCUCUGAUUAUCCAUGGCCCAUUCAACUUACUACAUUUUACAAAUUUUGUUAUAUAACCCCUUUUUCUGCCCCAGUGACUCCCCUUUCUGGCAGCCUCACUGCUCCACCCAUCAGGAAGCAUAAGGCAAAGAUCAUAAGCCAAUAUAUUCUAAAAGGCCAAGCAAUUUUUGGAUGCUUUGGAUCCUAAAACCCCUUAAGGAAUGUCAAAAAGAGUGAUUUCAUGUCGUUCAUUUCCAUGGGAGAGCUCUCAAGGUAUGACGCUACUCAAUGAGCACGUCUACACGUGAUGCUACGGCGAUGUAGCAAUGCACUACAGCAACAUAGGUUCAGCAGACACAAACAUGAUGCUGCAGCUACAUGACCGUUGUGAUGUGCUCCUUCAUUAUAGUGCAUUGCUAUGGUGAUGUAGCAAUUAAAAAUAACCAUGUGCCAUCAGAACAGUGCAGUAAUAGGUGUUACUGCACUGUUAUUUAGUACUUCGUAAAGGAAGUAGUAAGUGACAGCACAGUGACAACAGUGCCAUAGGGGCAUGUGUAGAUGUGCCUAGUGUGAGGAAAGUUGCCAGAAUCAUCUUCAUUUGAAUGUGCUGAUCACAGUGAGUCAUUUUCAUUUUAGCCCUGCAUGAAAGACAGCUGGAAAAACAUUCUGCUGCAGGGAGUAAAAGCCAGACACCAUGUUUUAAAGAGACAACAGCCAGCCUAUAUUGACUGCACAAGUCCCUCAGUAAAGAACAGAUCCUACUCUGCUUGCUUGUUCCAAAGCAUUAUACCUUUCAAGCAGCCAUGCUUGGAACAAAUGAACAAGGACAAACUGUAGCCCUGAGAAAAAAUAAUCUUACCGUGGAAACCUCGAUCUUCAUUCGUGGAGGAAGGUAUUCAUUUUGAUGGGACAGCUUUCAGGGUGAGAUGCUACUCAGACUGAGGAAAGUUACCAGAAGUGUUCCCUUAUUAUAUGCAUUGAUCAGAGUGAAGCAGUGUUCAGUAAGGGAGGCAACUGCCCAAUAGAUACAAAGAACAGAGGAGAGAAUCACUGUGGCAAUAUCAUCUCGGUUCAGGAGACCUUGGGUUACAGAGCACUGGUCAUCUCAGGUUCCUGGUUGGUCCAAUCCUGUCCAGAGAUGUCUGGAAUCCACAGCACUGUCUCAGGUAGGUAGUUUAGCCCUUUUGGGCUCAGCUCAUUUUCAGAGGCCCCUUCCUGGGGCUGCCACCACUUCCCCUCACUGGGGCUCUGCUCCAGUCUGGACCACUCUGGGCCUACCAGGGAACCCACUUCUGGUCCCUCUUCUCUCCCUUCUAUCAGGCAUUUUAUCCCUACUUCAAGGGGCCGGCCAGUGAAUCAGUGCCAGCAUGCUGCCA